RNAcentral lists this long non-coding RNA (975 nucleotides) under Macaca mulatta (Rhesus monkey). RNAcentral's name for it is "lncRNA (ENSMMUG00000057958.1)". The record is from RNAcentral. Lineage: Eukaryota; Metazoa; Chordata; Mammalia; Primates; Cercopithecidae.
UGCUGGUGUGAUGCUAGAUGAAGCCCUUGCUCUCUUGGGCCUCGGUCUCCUGCCUAUGAACUGAGCUGACAGUAGCACUCACCUCCUGCAGCUACUGUGUAGAGUGAACUCAUUGCUGUCAGGAGCUCGGACUGGCUUGGACAGUGCCCACCGCUGUCACCCCCAGUUGUCACUCCUCACACUGCUGGCAUCCUUGCCAACACCGAUGCCAGAGCUGUGUGGACACCGCCAGCUGCAGGCUGUGGGCACCGGGCCCCAGACACCGAGGCGGCUCUGCAGCUCCUUGCUUCGCCUUUGCUUUCUUCCUUAAUUUCUGUGCCUCUCCAGGUUUAGGGACAGCAACCAGAGGCAGGGACUCACUGCAGGGGCAAGACCUGGGCCUCCCACAGUCAGGCAGGUUGAAAUACAAGCUGGGGAGACUUCUGCCCUGAAAUCCCUGUAUACACCCCUCCGUAUCCAAGGGCCCUACUCAGCUGGUUACUACUGCGAGGGGGGCUCUGCCAGCCCCACGCCCCAGAGAAGGUCCUUUUCCCUCAACGGACCCUGCCCCGGAGGCCACUACUGCCCACAGGGGACGCUGCUCCCGGUUCCAUGCCCCGUGGGGACAAGGAGCAGCCCAGGGACAUGGUCUCCACCACGGUGUCCUCCAGGGACCUUCACUCUCCAGGAUGUAUCAGGCCUCCGGGAAGAGAGUGACUGUUCCGUCUGUCCCCCGGGUCACUACUGCAGAGGUGGACAGGUGUUGGGAAAAUGUCCUGCUGGUUACUUCUGCCCACCGGGGGCCUCUGAAGUGAGAACGUCAGGUCCCAGGCAGCCCCAGACACCGUGUCCCCAGAGACAGCUGUGCGCGGAGCAGUGUCCGCCAGGAUUUUACUGCCCUGAGGGCAGUGGAGAGCCCAUUCCUUGUCCACCUCACACACUGGUGGCUGACCCUGGAGCCAAGCAGAAAGAGGACUGUGGGCCUUGCCCCCCUGG